Long non-coding RNA from Apis florea (little honeybee), 416 nucleotides. NCBI's taxonomy places the organism in Eukaryota, Metazoa, Arthropoda, Insecta, Hymenoptera, Apidae. The record is from RefSeq and is a predicted model, not a curated record.
CGCAUGCGCAGAAAAUGUCGACAUGUUUGUGGUCAUGCUUCGCAGCUCUCAGGUGCGUGCGCAUCUCGGCGCGACUCGCGGCUUUCAGGAAAAAAUUGAACGUACCACUCGCCAGUAAACUGUGAGACUUCCAGCGAUUCGUCAGUGAAGUUAGCUUGGUGGAUGUCAUUGACCGCCAUAUUCAGGACAGUCGUCCGAGACAGUUUCGAAAAAAAAGUUGGAAGGUGAAGUGAUAAGAGUGUCGAAAGGUUAAGGACUGUGCGUUGAAUAUAUUAUUACGCAUAAGAAUCGGUAAAACCGACGCAGUAGAAAACCUAAGAUGGAGUUCAAGUUCAACGUAAAUAAACUUUUACCUAGAAAGAUCAACAAGGUCACGCAUACUCUUAUUCCAGAAGAUUUCAAAGGUGAUCGUCGUG